GACGAACGUUGGCGGCGUGCCUUACACAUGCAAGUCGUACGCGAAAGGGUGAACCGGCUUGCCGGGGGAUCCCGAGUAGAGUGGCGAACGGGAGCGUAACACGUGAGAAACCUGCCUUGGAGUGGGGAAUAACUUCGAGAAAUCGGAGCCAAUUCCGCAUGAUGCAGCGGCCCCGCAUGGGGACAGUUGUUAAAGACGGCCUCUGCUUGCAAGCCGUCGCUUCGAGAUGGUCUCGCGGCCUAUCAGCUAGUUGGUGAGGUAAUGGCUCACCAAGGCGACGACGGGUAGCCGGCCUGAGAGGGU
RNAcentral lists this ribosomal RNA (303 nucleotides) under uncultured bacterium. RNAcentral's name for it is "bacterial SSU rRNA". It matches the Rfam family "Bacterial small subunit ribosomal RNA", at positions 28 to 301 of the family's 1533-position model. The record is from RNAcentral.